RNAcentral lists this long non-coding RNA (1011 nucleotides) under Trifolium pratense (red clover). Its description in RNAcentral is "long non-coding RNA (TPRA_LNC002124)". Lineage: Eukaryota; Viridiplantae; Streptophyta; Magnoliopsida; Fabales; Fabaceae. The record is from RNAcentral.
CCGUCGUUCGGUGAUGGUGGCUGGUGGAGGUGUUGAGGGGUUUGGUGGUGAGGUGCUGACGUGGCGAUGUUGGUUUUGACGUGUUGGUGUGUGGUUGAUGCAUUGUGUAAUUGGUUCCACAUACUGGACUCUCUGACCGCUUACAAAUCUGUUAAGAUUUGUAGGAUUCUUUUUUGAGUCUCUGUUCGUUUCCAACUCUGUUGAGAUUUCAGGUAUCUUUAUAUCUGUUUGGACCUCUUCCGCGGCGGCGUUGACGGUUUGGAGGCGGACUGCGAGGUGAGACUUAUCUGCCUAGGCUUUCUUUCUACCGUGGUCCAUCAAUUUUGGCUCGCGGAGAUGCUUUUUGGAUUCUGAUGGGCCAAUCACUUUUGUUUCCAGAUCGGGAGUUAGAAUCUACUAUCAUUUCUAUGGGUCUGGUUGAUGUCUUCUUGGGUGGUUUAGAAGCUGAGGAGCUUCGUUCUAAGAAUGGGAUUAGAACUUACCUCUAUUAGGUAGUGUUGGUUUUUGUUGUAUUCAUUUAUGUUCCGCUUAUAUACAGGCGUCUUUGUUUUUGUAGUUCCAAUUUCUCUCGGUCUAUGUUCGUCUUGUACGGAGACCGAUUAAUUUUAAUAAUAUAUUUUGCUGUUAAAAAAAAAAUACCAAUAAUAAACAUGUAACAUCACCACUAAAUGUUUAACAACAUUUUUCUCUUUUUGGUUAAGUGGUAAAAGGCAAAAAGAGCAAGCAACUUCGACAAAUUAUAUGGUUGGCAACGACUUGGAGCAUUUGGCGCAUGCGGAAUAACAUAUUAUUUAGAAGUGGUUGUGUGAAUGUAUCUUCUAUAGUGGACAAAAUCAUUUAUAUAUCGUGGUUUUGGUUUAUAUGCAGAUUAGGGAGAAAUGUCAAUGUAACUUUUUCUUAUUGGUUUAGCAACUCUUUAGAGUGCUUUCAAAGUAUCUAAAGUGCUUGCCCUUGAAUUGGAAGGAUUAAGUAUCUCUUGUACUCCUUAUAAUUCAAUCUUUGCUUAUAAAA